GACGGGGGAUGCAAGUGUUAUCCGGAAUCACUGGGCGUAAAGCGUCUGCAGGUGGUUUCCUAAGUCCACUGUUAAACCUUGAGGCUCAACCUCAAAUCUGCAUUGGAAACUAGGAGACUUGAGUACAGUAGGGGUAGAGGGAAUUUCCAGUGGAGCGGUGAAAUGCGUAGAUAUUGGAAAGAACACCGAUGGCGAAGGCACUCUACUGGGCUAUUACUGACACUCAGAGACGAAAGCUAGGGGAGCAAAUGGG
This 253-nucleotide ribosomal RNA is filed under the name uncultured bacterium. Its description in RNAcentral is "partial 16S ribosomal RNA". It matches the Rfam family "Bacterial small subunit ribosomal RNA", at positions 524 to 776 of the family's 1533-position model. The record is from RNAcentral.